This 452-nucleotide ribosomal RNA is filed under the name uncultured Streptococcus sp. Its description in RNAcentral is "bacterial SSU rRNA". It matches the Rfam family "Bacterial small subunit ribosomal RNA", at positions 929 to 1382 of the family's 1533-position model. Lineage: Bacteria; Bacillati; Bacillota; Bacilli; Lactobacillales; Streptococcaceae. The record is from RNAcentral.
GCGGUGGAGCAUUGUGGUUUAAUUCGAAGCAACGCGAAGAACCUUACCAGGUCUUGACAUCCCGAUGCUAUUUCUAGAGAUAGAAAGUUACUUCGGUACAUCGGUGACAGGUGGUGCAUGGUUGUCGUCAGCUCGUGUCGUGAGAUGUUGGUUAAGUCCCGCAACGAGCGCAACCCCUAUUGUUAGUUGCCAUCAUUCAGUUGGGCACUCUAGCGAGACUGCCGGUAAUAAACCGGAGGAAGGUGGGGAUGACGUCAAAUCAUCAUGCCCCUUAUGACCUGGGCUACACACGUGCUACAAUGGUUGGUACAACGAGUUGCGAGUCGGUGACGGCGAGCUAAUCUCUUAAAGCCAAUCUCAGUUCGGAUUGUAGGCUGCAACUCGCCUACAUGAAGUCGGAAUCGCUAGUAAUCGCGGAUCAGCACGCCGCGGUGAAUACGUUCCCGGGCCUU